This is a long non-coding RNA of Pistacia vera, 275 nucleotides long. RefSeq lists it as uncharacterized. Lineage: Eukaryota; Viridiplantae; Streptophyta; Magnoliopsida; Sapindales; Anacardiaceae. The transcript has 5 exons. The record is from RefSeq and is a predicted model, not a curated record.
GGUACUGCGGAACUGCAAUAUUAUCGGUCAAAUCCCAUCAUUUAUAUUUGAUGAGAAUACAUAUAUGAGCCGACUUGACUUGAGCUUCAACAAUUUUACUGGUGUGAUCCCAAAUUCUAUUCUGAAUCUGAAAUCAAGUAGUAGCAUGUUUCUCUCCGGAGAUGUGAUCAAUCAGGCAAUUCUCCGCUGGAUUAAUAACACAGUAAAAUCUAAGGGGGGUAUUUCAUACAAUAAUUUUACAACUGAAGAAGCAGCAGUAAAGAAGGGUAUUUCAC